UGAAUGUAGCUUGGUUGCUAGAGUGCUUGUCUAGCAUGUCUGAGGCUCUGGGUUCUAUCCCCAGCAUUGCAA
RNAcentral lists this transfer RNA (72 nucleotides) under Marmota monax (woodchuck). RNAcentral's name for it is "tRNA.Ala". Lineage: Eukaryota; Metazoa; Chordata; Mammalia; Rodentia; Sciuridae. The record is from RNAcentral.